AUAAGGGUAUAUAAAUACAUCAGUUCUCUAGAAAGGCACACUAUCUUUCAGGACUUGCAAUUUCAGCUUCUUGAACUCUCAUCGUGGGUAAAAGGACUCAGCCAAACAUGAAGAUCUUUGUCUUCACCUUCAUCAUGGCUCUCCUGGUUGCCAUGAUUAGUGCUGAUUCUUCUUCAUCUGAAGAGGUAAGACAUUAUCA
Long non-coding RNA from Pipistrellus kuhlii (Kuhl's pipistrelle), 199 nucleotides. RefSeq lists it as uncharacterized. Lineage: Eukaryota; Metazoa; Chordata; Mammalia; Chiroptera; Vespertilionidae. The record is from RefSeq and is a predicted model, not a curated record. The transcript has 3 exons.